GAAAUCAUAUAUCGGCAGCAAGGAAAUUCCCAGGUAGUGACACCUUCUCCCCAAGUUUAAAUGCUGGUAGACCCUUGUAUGGGCACGUACUGCACCGAAAAGCAUCUCCCAGUCCACAAUUUCCACAUGCAGAUUGAGGAUUUUCCAACAAAUCUGAAGUCAAUCCCAGUUUUUCUACUUUCUCCUCUGCUUCAGCCCUGCCACAAGUGCAGUUCUUGCAAGCUUUCCUAGUGCUGCCAACUUCACAAUCACCCACUAAUGGUAGCUGGGGUUUCUUCAAAUCCUCCUCAGUCAAUAAACUAUCUUCAUCGAUCAAAUCAGAAUCAUCAUCAAGCUGAAUCUUUGGUAAACUUUUUGCAGGCUUCUUAAUAGCAAAAGAGGAGCCAAUCUUCCAAGAAGGCUUUUUGGCUCUUAUCACGAAAUUCCCUACAUCAGAUGGAGAAACUAAUUUCUUUUCUGUUACUUGAGCUUCAAGAAAGCCUGCCAAAAGUAAUCUUCUCAACAUGGCCUGGGACUCAUCUUUCUUAACUGCAACAGACUGUGAAGUCUUGUGAAUAAGGAUUAUACCAUCAGGCUUCAAAACUCUUGAGAUAUCCUCACAGAACUGAUCACUUGGAAAAUCAGAUCUACAAAUAGAAAUGAUAACAUCCAUGGAUGAUGCUUCAAGUGGCAGCUUAUUUAGAGAAAAGGCUUGAGUGAUUAUUUGGGAACCACAGUUCCCAACAUAUUCAUUCCCAAGCUCUUGUAAAGCAUUAACAAUGAUGCUUGUAGCCAGAACAGUGUCAUCUGUAAUCGCCAACACGCUCUUCAUAGUGGUGUCCAUUUUCGACGGAGAAGAUGUGUUUUCUCGCGGAAGUAUGGGUUUUCUCUCGAAUUGCAGCACGCCGGACGGGAGAAGAAAGUCGAAUCGUCGCCGGAAGUAUCCGUUCUCCUUCUCUUCGAGGCACAGCACGCCGGACGGGAGAAGAAUGUGGAAUCGUCGCCGGACGGGACGGGAGUUCUU
This 1003-nucleotide unclassified non-coding RNA is filed under the name Hevea brasiliensis (rubber tree). The record is from RNAcentral. Lineage: Eukaryota; Viridiplantae; Streptophyta; Magnoliopsida; Malpighiales; Euphorbiaceae.